This is a long non-coding RNA of Sphaeramia orbicularis (orbiculate cardinalfish), 114 nucleotides long. RefSeq lists it as uncharacterized. The record is from RefSeq and is a predicted model, not a curated record. The transcript is spliced from 3 exons. Lineage: Eukaryota; Metazoa; Chordata; Actinopteri; Kurtiformes; Apogonidae.
UUUGAUAGAGACCAUAAAGACUGGACUGUGUUUCAAUGGAUAAAGGUCAUGUGGUCUGAUGAGUCCAGACUGGCCCUGUUCCAGUGUGAUGGACACGUCAGGGUGAGAAGAAAG